Molecule: long non-coding RNA, 375 nt
Filed under: Sorghum bicolor (sorghum)
Lineage: Eukaryota; Viridiplantae; Streptophyta; Magnoliopsida; Poales; Poaceae
Description: long non-coding RNA (SBIC_LNC009909)
Source: RNAcentral
AUGGUCUUGUAGGGCAUUGGUCUUAAUUAUAACCAGAAUUUAUAGAAAAAUUAAAAGAUUCCCUAAGUGUAGCUAAAAGUGCAUUAUCUUCUUGAUUAAAAGAUAGGACCUCAGCUAUAGAAAAGGGUUGGUUUUGACCUAUUGCAAUCAACUCCGGACACAGAUCAUAAUUAGGGGAAGGACGUGUUGACUCCCAUGGUCUAUGGCUGGUCUCCGAAGGUGCAAAGAAUUCAAUAAUAGGUAUGGAAUUUGAGUUAUCCAUAAAGAUAGAAAAAAUAAAAAGAUAAAAGAAUAAAAGUAUAAAAGUAUAAUACAAGAUAAUAGCAAGACUCAAAGUUAUCUCAGCAAACCGUCUUUCUCCCCGGCAACGGCGCC